Molecule: ribosomal RNA, 587 nt
Filed under: uncultured bacterium
Lineage: Bacteria
Description: bacterial SSU rRNA
Rfam family: Bacterial small subunit ribosomal RNA
Source: RNAcentral
UCCUACGGGAGGCAGCAGUGGGGAAUAUUGGACAAUGGGGGCAACCCUGAUCCAGCCAUGCCGCGUGUGUGAAGAAGGCCCUCGGGUUGUAAAGCACUUUCAGCGAGGAAGAACGCCUAGCGGUUAAUACCCGCUAGGAAAGACAUCACUCGCAGAAGAAGCACCGGCUAACUCCGUGCCAGCAGCCGCGGUAAUACGGAGGGUGCAAGCGUUAAUCGGAAUUACUGGGCGUAAAGCGCGCGUAGGUGGCUUGAUAAGCCGGUUGUGAAAGCCCCGGGCUCAACCUGGGAACGGCAUCCGGAACUGUCAAGCUAGAGUGCAGGAGAGGAAGGUAGAAUUCCCGGUGUAGCGGUGAAAUGCGUAGAGAUCGGGAGGAAUACCAGUGGCGAAGGCGGCCUUCUGGACUGACACUGACACUGAGGUGCGAAAGCGUGGGUAGCAAACAGGAUUAGAUACCCUGGUAGUCCACGCCGUAAACGAUGUCGACCAGCCGUUGGGUGCCUAGCGCACUUUGUGGCGAGGUUAACGCGAUAAGUCGACCGCCUGGGGAGUACGGCCGCAAGGUUAAAACUCAAAUGAAUUGACGG